GUCAGGGGGCCGGAAGGGGGUGUGGCUUCACGCCAGCCAUCGUCCUGAGGAAGGGGUAGAUGAGUGGAGAAUUCAACGGCAAGAUGGGAAACCAGGCAAAGAGCUGGGGGGGCCCAGACCAGACCCCAGGUGAGGUCAGGGACAGCAGGAAGUUGAGGGGCACAGGUGCAGAGGGAUGCAGAUUCCACCAGGACUGGGGGUUCCUGACCGGUAGGGCUGCAGGGACAAGGGACAGGAGAGUCGAGGCAGGGCCAGGAGUGACACCCCUGAGGUCCCAGCUGAAGCUGAGGCUGGUGAAGGGGUGGAAAUCGAGGCCCCACAGAGUGUGUGACCCACGGGGACUGGGGAGUCUGACCACUCUAGAAGGACAGGAGCCCUGAGGGGCCGGAGAUGGUG
Molecule: long non-coding RNA, 396 nt
Filed under: Marmota monax (woodchuck)
Lineage: Eukaryota; Metazoa; Chordata; Mammalia; Rodentia; Sciuridae
Source: RNAcentral